ACGAACGCUGGCGGCGUGCUUAACACAUGCAAGUCGAGCGGUAAGGCCUCUUCGGGGGUACACGAGCGGCGAACGGGUGAGUAACACGUGGGUGACCUGCCCUCAGCUCUGGGAUAAGCCUGGGAAACUGGGUCUAAUACCGGAUAUGACCUUUCCUCGCAUGGGGUUGGGUGGAAAGUUUUUUCGGCUGGGGAUGGGCCCGCGGCCUAUCAGCUUGUUGGUGGGGUGAUGGCCUACCAAGGCGACGACGGGUAGCCGGCCUGAGAGGGCGACCGGCCACACUGGGACUGAGACACGGCCCAGACUCCUACGGGAGGCAGCAGUGGGGAAUAUUGCGCAAUGGGCGGAAGCCUGACGCAGCGACGCCGCGUGGGGGAUGACGGCCUUCGGGUUGUAAACCUCUUUCGACCUUGACGAAGCCUUUCAGGGUGACGGUAGGGGUAGAAGAAGCACCGGCCAACCACGU
This 466-nucleotide ribosomal RNA is filed under the name uncultured bacterium. Its description in RNAcentral is "bacterial SSU rRNA". It matches the Rfam family "Bacterial small subunit ribosomal RNA", at positions 29 to 506 of the family's 1533-position model. The record is from RNAcentral.